Molecule: long non-coding RNA, 773 nt
Organism: Carassius gibelio (silver crucian carp)
Lineage: Eukaryota; Metazoa; Chordata; Actinopteri; Cypriniformes; Cyprinidae
Exons: 6
Source: RefSeq, a predicted model, not a curated record
CCCAUUCUCACUCCAAAGGCGUCAAAAACCGAAGCAUGGUCAAGCGCCCCUAGCGUCACUUUUAUGACGCCAAAUGUGCCUCUCGGCGUCGACUAUCGAAGCACUACGACCUUCAUUGCUUUCAGUGGGAAACUUUCGGCGUCAGAAUUCGACACGAGGACAUGAGAUGUUUAUCGCUAUGAAAUCACGUUCAAGAAGUCUCAUUCAGCACACAUCGCGCGAUACUUGCUAUCAGUUCCACAGUUUGGCUGAAAAGACGUAAAGGCAGUCAGCCCAGUGGUGUUUCUGGAGAGGGAUUCCUUCAGAAAUGGAGAAGACAGAAAGCUGCGGAGGCAGAUAUUUGCAGCAGUCUAAAAUAUCGAGCUCAACAGCUAUUUUAAGAGCCAACCCUCACAAACCUUCCUAAAACCUAAAAGAGCUAUUACUGAGUCUCAGCGAAUCUUGCCAUGAUCAGCUCUUCCCAGAAGAGAAGGAAGACCAAGGAAAUGAUUUGCUCAGGAUGAGGAAUGAAGACGGCCAUCUUGAGCUCAAACAAACAGAAGUCCUCUGAUGAUCUCAUCAGCCAAAUGAGAGGUUUUGACCAAGUGAUGCUCUUGAAAGGAGUGGAUGUGGUAAAUUGUCUUCAGAGAAAAAGCUUCUCAAAAGGUCUUAAAACAGCUUGAAGAAUGGUCUGGGAUGUUAGGACUGAGAGAUCCUCUGGCUGAGAACAAGCUACACCACAUCAGUGCUGGAUAUCAACCACAAACAGUUUCCAGACACGAGAGAAGAAGAAC